AGCUUUGCGCAGUGGUAGUAUCAUAGCCAAUGAGGUUUAUCCAAGGUGCGAUUAUUGCUAAUUGAAACAAUCCCCUUUAUUUAUUUAUUUAUUUUUUUUUGAGAGAGAGAUUUUAGCUCUAAGGUGU
RNAcentral lists this small nuclear RNA (127 nucleotides) under Tupaia belangeri chinensis (Chinese tree shrew). RNAcentral describes it as "Tupaia chinensis (Chinese tree shrew) U4 spliceosomal RNA". It matches the Rfam family "U4 spliceosomal RNA". Rfam says of the family: U4 small nuclear RNA (U4 snRNA) is a component of the major U2-dependent spliceosome. The structure of U4 snRNA from yeast and human has been reported. The record is from Rfam by way of RNAcentral. Lineage: Eukaryota; Metazoa; Chordata; Mammalia; Scandentia; Tupaiidae.